Raphanus sativus (radish) is the source of this 648-nucleotide long non-coding RNA. RefSeq lists it as uncharacterized. NCBI's taxonomy places the organism in Eukaryota, Viridiplantae, Streptophyta, Magnoliopsida, Brassicales, Brassicaceae. The record is from RefSeq and is a predicted model, not a curated record. The transcript is spliced from 2 exons.
CAAACGCAGAAGCUGAAGACGAUGAAUCACACGGAGAGAGCGACCCUGACCCUGAACCUGAAGACGGUGUUGUUCUUUCUUUUUCUUCUUCCUCCGUCACGUUCAGAUCAAUUAAACCACCCAUCAGAGAGAGAAAAAAAGAGAAGAGAGAGCAGAGAGUGAUGAGCCAAGUCUUAAAGCCAAGAUUUUUAAUUUUUCGUUUUUGUGAGAAAAAUAAAAGUUUUGAUUUUUCUUUUUUUUUGGACAAUGUUUAAGAGGAGAGAGAGAGAGAGGGGGUCAGAACAGAACAGUACUGAGUGCUCCUCUGUGUAGUACUGUGGCCUCUGCUGCUACGUCUGGUGAGGUGACUGAUGUGUGUGGUGUGGCUUUUAGACCUUUUGUGCGUGGUUUUGAUUUUAAGAUUUUUGAUAGAUUGGUUUCUUUCUUCCUUCCUUCCUUCCUUCUUUUUACUCCUUUUCUAUAUUUUAUUUUUAUGAUUUUAUUACACAACGGUUUUCUUGCAAUGUUGAUAAAUAAUACCAUUGGGUUUUUACAGAUGUACUUUAUACAUGUGGGUUUUUCUAUUACAAGUAUUAGUGAUUGUACAAUGCAAGAAUAAUGGCUUAAUGAACGUCUUUAGUGUGAAAAGUAAUAACGUCAUUUAAUCUU